RNAcentral lists this ribosomal RNA (497 nucleotides) under uncultured bacterium. Its description in RNAcentral is "partial 16S ribosomal RNA". It matches the Rfam family "Bacterial small subunit ribosomal RNA", at positions 28 to 507 of the family's 1533-position model. The record is from RNAcentral.
GAUGAACGCUGGCGGCGUGCCUAAUACAUGCAAGUCGAGCGAACGGACGAGAAGCUUGCUUCUCUGAUGUUAGCGGCGGACGGGUGAGUAACACGUGGAUAACCUACCUAUAAGACUGGGAUAACUUCGGGAAACCGGAGCUAAUACCGGAUAAUAUUUUGAACCGCAUGGUUCAAAAGUGAAAGACGGUCUUGCUGUCACUUAUAGAUGGAUCCGCGCUGCAUUAGCUAGUUGGUAAGGUAACGGCUUACCAAGGCAACGAUGCAUAGCCGACCGGAGAGGGUGAUCGGCCACACUGGAACUGAGACACGGUCCAGACUCCUACGGGAGGCAGCAGUAGGGAAUAUUCCGCAAUGGGCGAAAGCCUGACGGAGCAACGCCGCGUGAGUGAUGAAGGUCUUCGGAUCGUAAAACUCUGUUAUUAGGGAAGAACAUAUGUGUAAGUAACUGUGCACAUCUUGACGGUACCUAAUCAGAAAGCCACGGCUAACUACGUG